Molecule: ribosomal RNA, 301 nt
Filed under: uncultured bacterium
Lineage: Bacteria
Description: partial 16S ribosomal RNA
Rfam family: Bacterial small subunit ribosomal RNA
Source: RNAcentral
CAGUAGCCGCGGGAAUACGUAGGGUGCAAGCGUUAAUCGGAAUUACUGGGCGUAAAGCGUGCGCAGGCGGUUUGUUAAGACAGAUGUGAAAUCCCCGGACUCAACCUGGGAACUGCAUUUGUGACUGGCAGGCUAGAGUAUGGCAGAGGGGGGUGGAAUUCCGCGUGUAGCAGUGAAAUGCGUAGAUAUGCGGAGGAACACCGAUGGCGAAGGCAGCCCCCUGGGCCAAUACUGACGCUCAUGCACGAAAGCGUGGGGAGCAAACAGGAUUAGAUACCCCCGUAGUCCCUGUCUCUUAUAC